Molecule: ribosomal RNA, 254 nt
Filed under: uncultured bacterium
Lineage: Bacteria
Description: partial 16S ribosomal RNA
Rfam family: Bacterial small subunit ribosomal RNA
Source: RNAcentral
UACGUAGGGCGCAAGCGUUGUCCGGAAUUAUUGGGCGUAAAGAGCUCGUAGGCGGUUUGAUAAGUCGGGUGUGAAAUCUCCAGGCUCAACCUGGAGCUGCCACUCGAUACUGUCAUGACUUGAAUUCGGUAGGGGACCACGGAAUUCCUGGUGUAGCGGUGAAAUGCGCAGAUAUCAGGAGGAACACCAGCAGCGAAGGCGGUGGUCUGGGCCGACAUUGACGCUGAGGAGCGAAAGCGUGGGGAGCGAACAGG